AGUAACGCGUGAGGAACCUGCCUCAAAGAGGGGGACAACAGUUGGAAACGACUGCUAAUACCGCAUAAGCCCACGGCUCGGCAUCGAGCAGAGGGAAAAGGAGCAAUCCGCUUUGAGAUGGCCUCGCGUCCGAUUAGCUAGUUGGUGAGGUAAUGGCCCACCAAGGCGACGAUCGGUAGCCGGACUGAGAGGUUGGACGGCCACAUUGGGACUGAGACACGGCCCAG
RNAcentral lists this ribosomal RNA (227 nucleotides) under uncultured bacterium. RNAcentral's name for it is "partial 16S ribosomal RNA". It matches the Rfam family "Bacterial small subunit ribosomal RNA", at positions 109 to 334 of the family's 1533-position model. The record is from RNAcentral.